RNAcentral lists this ribosomal RNA (465 nucleotides) under uncultured bacterium. RNAcentral describes it as "partial 16S ribosomal RNA". It matches the Rfam family "Bacterial small subunit ribosomal RNA", at positions 338 to 795 of the family's 1533-position model. The record is from RNAcentral.
CCUACGGGUGGCUGCAGUGGGGAAUAUUGCACAAUGGGGGGAACCCUGAUGCAGCAACGCCGCGUGGGUGAAGAAGUACUCCGGUAUGUAAAGCCCUGUCAGCAGGGAAGAACGGUCACUGUGCUAAUCAGCAGUGAAUUGACGGUACCUGCAAAGGAAGCACCGGCUAACUCCGUGCCAGCAGCCGCGGUAAUACGGAGGGUGCGUGCGUUAAUCGGAAUUACUGGGCGUAAAGCGCUCGUAGGCGGUAUGUCAAGUCAAGGGGUAAAUCCCCGCGCUCAACGUGGGAACUGCCUUUGAAACUGGCAAACUGGAGUGUGUGAGAGGAUAGUGGAAUUCCAGGUGUAGGAGUGAAAUCCGUAGAUAUCUGGAGGAACAUCAGUGGCGAAGGCGACUAUCUGGCACAUAACUGACGCUGAGGAGCGAAAGCGUGGGUAGCAAACAGGAUUAGAUACCCGGGUAGUC